RNAcentral lists this ribosomal RNA (478 nucleotides) under uncultured bacterium. RNAcentral's name for it is "partial 16S ribosomal RNA". It matches the Rfam family "Bacterial small subunit ribosomal RNA", at positions 28 to 507 of the family's 1533-position model. The record is from RNAcentral.
GAUGAACGCUGGCGGCGUGCCUAACACAUGCAAGUCGAACGGAGUCCAGCCUUUAAGACCUUCGGGUCAAAGAGGGGAAGACUGAGUGGCGGACGGGUGAGUAACACGUGGGCAACCUGGCUCAUAGAGGGGGAUAACAGAGAGAAAUUUCUGCUAAUACCGCAUAAGCACACACUGCCGCAUGGCAGAGGGUGAAAAGAGAAUCGCUAUGAGAUGGACCCGCGUCUGAUUAGCCAGUUGGCAGGGUAAAAGCCUACCAAAGCGACGAUCAGUAGCCGAUCUGAGAGGAUGAACGGCCACAUUGGGACUGAGACACGGCCCAAACUCCUACGGGAGGCAGCAGUGGGGGAUAUUGCACAAUGGGGGGAACCCUGAUGCAGCGACGCCGCGUGAGUGAAGAAGUAUUUCGGUAUGUAAAGCUCUAUCAGCAGGGAAGAUAAUGACAGUACCUGAAUAAGAAGCCCCGGCUAACUACGUG